GAUGCGGCGUCCGAGUUGUAACCAGUAGGGACAAUUUUCUGGGGUGGCGCCGUCCUAAGUUCCUUGGAACAGGACGUCACAGAGGGUGAGAAUCCCGUGCCAGGAUGGCUGAAUCCAUCACCUAUGUGUAUUGUCUCCGACGAGUCGAGUUGUUUGGGAAUGCAGCUCAAAAUCGGUGGUAAAUUUCAUCUAAAGCUAAAUAUUGGCGAGAGACCGAUAGCGCACAAGUAGAGUGAUCGAAAGAUGAAAAGCACUUUGAAAAGAGAGUUAAAAAGUACGUGAAAUUGUUGAAAGGGAAGCGCUUGCGACCAGACUCGAUCGUCGGGGAACACCUGAGCCUUUGUUUGCAGGGUGCACUCGCCACCGAUCGGGCCAGCAUCGGUUCCGAGGGCGGGACAAAAGGUCGGGGAAUGUGGCUUCCCUCGGGGAGUGUUUAUAGACCCGAUCACAAUGCCGCCACUGGGGACCGAGGACCGCGCUCCG
This 483-nucleotide ribosomal RNA is filed under the name Scutellinia sp. RNAcentral describes it as "partial large subunit ribosomal RNA". It matches the Rfam family "Eukaryotic large subunit ribosomal RNA", at positions 128 to 604 of the family's 3401-position model. The record is from RNAcentral. Lineage: Eukaryota; Fungi; Ascomycota; Pezizomycetes; Pezizales; Pyronemataceae.